This 240-nucleotide unclassified non-coding RNA is filed under the name soil metagenome. RNAcentral describes it as "partial contains 5.8S ribosomal RNA, internal transcribed spacer 2, and large subunit ribosomal RNA". The record is from RNAcentral.
AAGACUAUAGACCUGCGGAGUACCUGCGGAAGGAUCAUUACCGAGUGAGGGCCCUCUGGGUCCAACCUCCCACCCGUGUUUAUCGUACCUUGUUGCUUCGGCGGGCCCGCCUCACGGCCGCCGGGGGGCACCUGCCCCCGGGCCCGCGCCCGCCGAAGACAUCAUUGAACUCUGUCUGAAGAUUGCAGUCUGAGUAGAUUAGCUAAAUCAGUUAAAACUUUCAGCAACGGAUCUCUAGAU